RNAcentral lists this ribosomal RNA (253 nucleotides) under uncultured bacterium. Its description in RNAcentral is "partial 16S ribosomal RNA". It matches the Rfam family "Bacterial small subunit ribosomal RNA", at positions 524 to 776 of the family's 1533-position model. The record is from RNAcentral.
UACGUAGGGGGCUAGCGUUGUCCGGAAUCAUUGGGCGUAAAGAGCGUGUAGGCGGCCCGGUAAGUCCGCUGUAAAAGUCAAAGGCUCAACCUUUGAAUGUCAGUGGAUACUGCCGGGCUAGAGUCCGGAAGAGGCGAGUGGAACUCCUGGUGUAGCGGUGGAAUGCGCAGAUAUCAGGAAGAACACCGAUGGCGAAGGCAGCCAUCUGGACCGACACUGACGCUGAGGCGCGAAAGCGUGGGGAGCAAACAGG